This 253-nucleotide ribosomal RNA is filed under the name uncultured bacterium. Its description in RNAcentral is "partial 16S ribosomal RNA". It matches the Rfam family "Bacterial small subunit ribosomal RNA", at positions 524 to 776 of the family's 1533-position model. The record is from RNAcentral.
UACAGAGGAUGCAAGCGUUAUCCGGAAUGAUUGGGCGUAAAGCGUCUGUAGGUGGCUUUUUAAGUCCGCCGUCAAAUCCCAGGGCUCAACUCUGGACAGGCGGUGGAAACUACCAAGCUGGAGUACGGUAGGGGCAGAGGGAAUUUCCGGUGGAGCGGUGAAAUGCGUAGAUAUCGUGAGGAACACCGGUGGCGAAGGCGGGUCUCUGGGCCGAUACUGACGCUGAGGAGCGAAAGCGUGGGGAGCAAACAGG